CUUCACCGAGCCCAGCCACAGCGGUUGUUCCCGGUCGUGGCCGUAGGCGGCGAGCAGGGCGUUGGCCUC
RNAcentral lists this antisense RNA (69 nucleotides) under Actinokineospora spheciospongiae. RNAcentral describes it as "Actinokineospora sp. EG49 ASpks TB sRNA". It matches the Rfam family "ASpks TB sRNA". The record is from Rfam by way of RNAcentral. Lineage: Bacteria; Bacillati; Actinomycetota; Actinomycetes; Pseudonocardiales; Pseudonocardiaceae.